GACGAACGCUGGCGGCGUGCUUAACACAUGCAAGUCGAACGGAAAGGCCCUGCUUUUGUGGGGUGCUCGAGUGGCGAACGGGUGAGUAACACGUGAGUAACCUGCCCUUGACUUUGGGAUAACUUCAGGAAACUGGGGCUAAUACCGGAUAGGAGCUCCUGCUGCAUGGUGGGGGUUGGAAAGUUUCGGCGGUUGGGGAUGGACUCGCGGCUUAUCAGCUUGUUGGUGGGGUAGUGGCUUACCAAGGCUUUGACGGGUAGCCGGCCUGAGAGGGUGACCGGCCACAUUGGGACUGAGAUACGGCCCAGACUCCUACGGGAGGCAGCAGUGGGGAAUAUUGCACAAUGGGCGGAAGCCUGAUGCAGCAACGCCGCGUGCGGGAUGACGGCCUUCGGGUUGUAAACCGCUUUCGCCUGUGACGAAGCGUGAGUGACGGUAAUGGGUAAAGAAGCACCGGCUAACUACGUGCCAGCAGCCGCGGUGAUACGUAGGGUGCGAGCGUUGUCCGGAUUUAUUGGGCGUAAAGGGCUCGUAGGUGGUUGAUCGCGUCGGAAGUGUAAUCUUGGGGCUUAACCCUGAGCGUGCUUUCGAUACGGGUUGACUUGAGGAAGGUAGGGGAGAAUGGAAUUCCUGGUGGAGCGGUGGAAUGCGCAGAUAUCAGGAGGAACACCAGUGGCGAAGGCGGUUCUCUGGGCCUUUCCUGACGCUGAGGUGCGAAAGCGUGGGGAGCGAACAGGCUUAGAUACCCUGGUAGUCCACGCUGUAAACGGUGGGUACUAGGUGUGGGGUCCAUUCCACGGGUUCCGUGCCGUAGCUAACGCUUUAAGUACCCCGCCUGGGGAGUACGGCCGCAAGGCUAAAACUCAAAGGAAUUGACGGGGCCCCGCACAAGCGGCGGAGCAUGCGGAUUAAUUCGAUGCAACGCGUAGAACCUUACCUGGGUUUGACAUGGAUCGGGAGUGCUCAGAGAUGGGUGUGCCUCUUUUGGGGUCGGUUCACAGGUGGUGCAUGGCUGUCGUCAGCUCGUGUCGUGAGAUGUUGGGUUAAGUCCCGCAACGAGCGCAACCCUUGUUCACUGUUGCCAGCACGUUAUGGUGGGGACUCAGUGGAGACCGCCGGGGUCAACUCGGAGGAAGGUGGGGAUGACGUCAAGUCAUCAUGCCCCUUAUGUCCAGGGCUUCACGCAUGCUACAAUGGCUGGUACAGAGAGUGGCGAGCCUGUGAGGGUGAGCGAAUCUCGGAAAGCCGGUCUCAGUUCGGAUUGGGGUCUGCAACUCGACCUCAUGAAGUCGGAGUCGCUAGUAAUCGCAGAUCAGCAACGCUGCGGUGAAUACGUUCCCGGG
This 1343-nucleotide ribosomal RNA is filed under the name uncultured bacterium. RNAcentral's name for it is "16S ribosomal RNA". It matches the Rfam family "Bacterial small subunit ribosomal RNA", at positions 28 to 1378 of the family's 1533-position model. The record is from RNAcentral.